CCAAGUGCAGUUCUACCAAAAGUUACUUCUAUCCAAAGGAGUAGUAAUGAAGUUUUCCCAAAGUUGUGGAGUUGGAAGGAGAUGGUACCUAGUAUUGCUGAUAUUGAUAACUGUUUCAUGGACCACAGCUUUGUGCAACCUUUGCUUGUGGUAUUUACCAAUACUUGCGUGCGUCUGAGGUGAAGAAAAGGCCUUCCACAGAUUACAUGGCUUGUGGAGGGAUUGUUUGGUGGAAGAACUGAAAUAACACCUGAUUAGAGGGAGAAGUUCUUGUAGCGGCUCCAGCAUGUGCAGUAACAAGGUCACAGUACCAUUCUUAGCAUGCCCACUCUUGCUGAUGGAAAUUCUAAGCAGUUUUCUACUCAGUAGCAAAAUCCACUCUUGCAAUAGGUUCUGGCAUCGCUGGACAGUGCCAUAAAGAUAGAAUAUUUAUCUUCAAACUUUGAGACUACCGGUGAGCUGCUAUAUUCCUCAAAUGAAAAAGGACGCUCAUGGAGUUUGAUAUAUGUGGCCAUCGUAAACAUGCUAGAGAAGAAGCUGGAGACUCCGAAGAACAAGGAAUCUGGGAAUUUUAUAGUAAGUAAUAUCAUAAUAUCAUAUAAUUUAUUUUAGAAAAUUAUCCGGAAUGGGUAUAAUGAGGAGGAAUGAAUCACUUGGUUAGUGCAUGCAGAUGUUGUGUUCCUUAAUCAAGUAAUCAGUAAUUUU
Rosa chinensis is the source of this 705-nucleotide long non-coding RNA. RefSeq lists it as uncharacterized. The record is from RefSeq and is a predicted model, not a curated record. The transcript is spliced from 4 exons. NCBI's taxonomy places the organism in Eukaryota, Viridiplantae, Streptophyta, Magnoliopsida, Rosales, Rosaceae.